CUGCCAGUGAUAAACUGGAGGAAGGUGGGGAUGACGUCAAGUCAUCAUGGCCCUUACGAGUAGGGCUACACACGUGCUACAAUGGCAUAUACAAAGAGAAGCGACCUCGCGAGAGCAAGCGGACCUCAUAAAGUAUGUCGUAGUCCGGAUUGGAGUCUGCAACUCGACUCCAUGAAGUCGGAAUCGCUAGUAAUCGUAGAUCAGAAUGCUACGGUGAAUACGUUCCCGGGCCUUGUACACACCGCCCGUCACACCAUGGGAGUGGGUUGCAAAAGAAGUAGGUAGCUUAACCUUCGGGAGGGCGCUUACCACUUUGUGAUUCAUGACUGGGGUGAAGUCGUAACAAGGUAACCGUAGGGGAACCUGCGGUUGGA
Molecule: ribosomal RNA, 374 nt
Filed under: Kluyvera ascorbata
Lineage: Bacteria; Pseudomonadati; Pseudomonadota; Gammaproteobacteria; Enterobacterales; Enterobacteriaceae
Description: bacterial SSU rRNA
Rfam family: Bacterial small subunit ribosomal RNA
Source: RNAcentral